This is a long non-coding RNA of Solea senegalensis (Senegalese sole), 756 nucleotides long. RefSeq lists it as uncharacterized. The transcript has 3 exons. The record is from RefSeq and is a predicted model, not a curated record. NCBI's taxonomy places the organism in Eukaryota, Metazoa, Chordata, Actinopteri, Pleuronectiformes, Soleidae.
UGUGCUUUACUAUUUUUUUGUAAAAUAGUACAAUUUAAAACAACAAUAACUUUUCUGUGAAAGAGCUUCUACAAACUGGUGCAUUAACCAUUACAGAAGCAUAAACAAAUGUUAAUGUAAGGCAGCUGUGCUAUUUGUUAAGCACUAUAUGUAUAUACACAUGUAUAUAUAGUGGAUAGAUUACAUUACCAAACCAAAUGCCUUCCCUACUGUGACUGAGGUAAUACCACCUCCCACAUAUAAGCCCUCAGCACCUGAUGUAUCCCCAUGUACUAAAGUGUAAUGGCUCUCACCGGCUCUGUUUGGGUUAAUUACCUACCGCCACAUUCCCAGAGUUCCUGCUUUUACUUGAAUUCGGAUGAAUCAGCUCCUUAUGGGCGGGGUUUUUGUCACAUCUCUCUGCACACAAAUGGUUGCAUGCAUCAUUAUCACCGACGGCAUUGGCAGCAAAACAGGAGCUGCUCUGCUGUGAUGUUGGAGGAGAAAUUGCAUCCGAAGAGGCCUAAAAGUGAUGCGAGAGGCAUUUUGGGAAACGCGAGAUGCAGUGACCUCUUGGAUUUUUUUAAAAGAUCUCACCUCGUCGGCUGCUCAUUCUCCUUUCCAAUACAGGAGGAAGUCCGUUCACAAUCGGUGGUUCACAAUUGAAUGUGAGGUGAAUCAUUAAGACUGGUGUGACAGUAUAAUUAGCCGAGUUGGUCUCCUACCCUGCAUGCUGGUCGUCUGAGACCCAACUCACGGAGAGUGGCGCCCCUUCAC